UAGCAGUCCAAAAUAUUAGUCAAUGCUCGCAAGAGUGAACUAGCUAACUGAAAUCAACGGUGUGUCAUCGUUGAUAAAGUAAGGGAAAAGAAAUGAUACUACCUUACUAUUAGUGUCGUCCAAGUACUCGUGCCAGAAGACUCGGUAAGGCGAGAGACGCAAACGUUAGUCGUCCUAAUCAGGCGUAAAGGGUUUGUAGGCGGUUUUAAGCAUUUAAUCCUUUAAAAUCACAAUUUUAAUAUUAUUAAAAAAUAAAAAAGGGAGACAAUCAAUUAAAACUAGAAUCAAGAAGAGGUUAAAUUAAAUAAUACUUGGCGUAAGAUUGGUAUCUAUAGAGACCAAGUGGAAUACUAACGGCGAAGGCUUUUUUCCAAUAAUGAUUGACGCUAAGAAACUAAGGUGAGGAUAGAAAAAAGGAUUAGAGACCCUAGUAUCCCUCACUGUCAACGAUGAAUGGUAGUUACUAGAUAUAUGAAUAUUUGAAUAUUCAUUACCCAAAGGGUAAUCCAAAUCUAGAGGCGAUGUUAACACGAAAACCAUUCCGCCUUGUGAGUACGACUGCAAAGUUG
RNAcentral lists this ribosomal RNA (569 nucleotides) under Xylodon nesporii. RNAcentral's name for it is "partial small subunit ribosomal RNA". It matches the Rfam family "Bacterial small subunit ribosomal RNA", at positions 349 to 896 of the family's 1533-position model. Lineage: Eukaryota; Fungi; Basidiomycota; Agaricomycetes; Hymenochaetales; Schizoporaceae. The record is from RNAcentral.